This 504-nucleotide ribosomal RNA is filed under the name uncultured bacterium. Its description in RNAcentral is "bacterial SSU rRNA". It matches the Rfam family "Bacterial small subunit ribosomal RNA", at positions 19 to 518 of the family's 1533-position model. The record is from RNAcentral.
CUGGCUCAGGAUGAACGCUAGCACGGGCCUAACACAUGCAAGUCAGGGGCAGCACAAGGAGCAAUCUGAGGUGGCGACCGGCGCACGGGUGAGUAACACGUAUGCAACCUGCCUGUAAGCGGGGAAUAACCCGUUGAAAGACGGACUAAUACCGCAUAAUACUAAAUUACUGCAUGGUAAUUUAUUUAAACAUUUAUGGCUUACAGAUGGGCAUGCGCAUGAUUAGCUAGUUGGAGAGGUAACGGCUCCCCAAGGCAACGAUCAUUAGGGGUUCUGAGAGGAAGGUCCCCCCACACUGGUACUGAGACACGGACCAGACUCCUACGGGAGGCAGCAGUGAGGAAUAUUGGUCAAUGGACGAGAGUCUGAACCAGCCAAGUCGCGUGCAGGAAGAAUGUCCCUAUGGAUUGUAAACUGCUUUUGCAGGGGAAUAAAGUGCAUCACGUGUGAUGUUUUGUAUGUACUCUGCGAAUAAGGAUCGGCUAACUCCGUGCCAGCCGCAGC